UCGAAAGAAGUUGAAGUGGACGGCAGUCCCAAGUAGCUAGUUUUGCAUACCGGACACCUACGAGGCUGAGGAAGGCUCCUAUCCCCCGUUCUUCGCACGCAGAGUUCUCCGAGGAGUCACCAAAAGACUUGCACACUGAAGUUGAUGACAACCUAGUGUAAGAUCAAUGGGCAGUGGAGGAUGAGGAAGUCAACACCGUCACAAAUUUCUGUGACCACAGCAUCGAGGAAUAUGCACAGGAAAAACCUGCAGACAAGUCAUGUGAUGAUCCCCUCGACGAGGUCGCAGAAACGAGUAAAUGCUGAGACGGAAUGUAGUGACUUGAAGCUCACGGUCUACUCCUCAUGGAAGAUCAACUGCUUGCGUUGGAUCGGGGGAUUGGAAGAACAAUCCACAGCACUUUACAUGCGCGUCGAAAAAAGUUGGCAUUCACAUAGCCAUUGAACGUGUGAAAUAGAAAUUUAAUUGCGAAGAGAUGAGAAUAAAACUGGUGUAGGUUAUUUAU
Molecule: long non-coding RNA, 505 nt
Organism: Ornithodoros turicata
Lineage: Eukaryota; Metazoa; Arthropoda; Arachnida; Ixodida; Argasidae
Exons: 2
Source: RefSeq, a predicted model, not a curated record